This 280-nucleotide long non-coding RNA is filed under the name Gallus gallus (chicken). Lineage: Eukaryota; Metazoa; Chordata; Aves; Galliformes; Phasianidae. The record is from RNAcentral.
UGUGCAUUUUGGGCAGCGUGUCCCUAUUUCUGGGCCAACUGUGUCCAUUUGGGUCCAUUUGUGGCUCAUUUGGUGCAGCAAUAAUCAUAGAAUCAUAGAAUCGCUAAGGUUGGAAAAGCCCCACAGGACCACCAGUCCAACCAUCCGCCCAUCACCAAUAGUUUUGACUAAACCACGUCCCUCAGCACAGCAUCCCAACGCUCUUUGAACACCUCCGGGCUCGGUGACCCCACCACCUCUCUGUGCAGCCCAUUGCAGCGCCGGACCACCCUUUCAGCCA